AUAUACCGUCCGGUGGCAGACGAAUCGGACGGACAAACGGACAGACAACGAAGUCUGAGUGAUAGGGUCCCGCUUUUACCUUUUGGAUACGGAACCCUAAAAACGGAACCUGGUAUAAAAGUAUU
Aricia agestis (brown argus) is the source of this 125-nucleotide long non-coding RNA. RefSeq lists it as uncharacterized. NCBI's taxonomy places the organism in Eukaryota, Metazoa, Arthropoda, Insecta, Lepidoptera, Lycaenidae. The transcript is spliced from 3 exons. The record is from RefSeq and is a predicted model, not a curated record.